This 377-nucleotide small RNA is filed under the name Pongo abelii (Sumatran orangutan). Its description in RNAcentral is "retained intron". Lineage: Eukaryota; Metazoa; Chordata; Mammalia; Primates; Hominidae. The record is from RNAcentral.
GGAGUGGUUUCUCCAGACGGCCAAGGAUCCUUCUGCAGUGGCGAAGCACUUUGUUGCCCUGUCUACCAACACGGUAAGUGCCCCCGUGGUCCCCUGUACUGCCUUCCUGGGAGGGCCCAGCAUGUCUAGGUCAUGGCCUCUCAGAGACGUGGUUCAUAGGUCUGGUGGAUCUUGGCUUGGCUGAUGGUAUGGAAGGUUUGGUUGCCUGUGGGCUGCAAGCCUUCCUUGCCUUUUCCACAUUACCCAUUCAACCUCUGCAGCUUUGAGGAGAGAGGCUUGGAGUCAGUGGGAUCACGAUAACCCCUUCUUCCGUCUCCCAGGCCUGACUGAUACCCAGAACCCUUCAUACACAUGACCUUCCUAGGCCUCUGUGCCCA